Molecule: Y RNA, 100 nt
Rfam family: Y RNA
About the family: Y RNAs are components of the Ro ribonucleoprotein particle (Ro RNP), in association with Ro60 and La proteins. The Y RNAs and Ro60 and La proteins are well conserved, but the function of the Ro RNP is not known.
Source: Ensembl
GUCUGGUCUGAGUGCAGUAGUGUUUACAUUAAUUGAUCACAGCCACUUACAGAUUUCUUUGUUCCUUCUCCACUUUCACUGCUUCUCUUGACAAGAAGAA